Long non-coding RNA from Pteropus alecto (black flying fox), 1916 nucleotides. RefSeq lists it as uncharacterized. The record is from RefSeq and is a predicted model, not a curated record. The transcript is spliced from 3 exons. NCBI's taxonomy places the organism in Eukaryota, Metazoa, Chordata, Mammalia, Chiroptera, Pteropodidae.
CCCAUGCCCUGCCCAGUGUGAUUUGUCUAGGUUGGUGGUUCUGAUCUGUUACUAACCCAAACUGACUCCCGAGGGAGCACUUGGGUUGUGCCUCCAGAGGUCAUUUCCUUGCCAAACAUUCCUUUUCAGUGAGAGGACAUUUUUCAUCCCCUGGUAAACAAUCCCCAGCCCGCACAAAGCCGAGAAGGAUGCCUGUCCCCCUUCACGCUCUCCUCUUAGUCCUGAGCUGAUUCCAACCCUAGAGGCGUCAGUCUGCUCUAUAAAUUCCUUUGUGAAACCUGAGAGCCUCGGCUCCCAAGGAGAGCAGAGACCUUGGAGGGGUUACAGUUUCCCUCCACCCAGCAAGAUCUGCUUGCGUUGGCAGCAGAAGAGUAUGUCUUUCCAAACAGGCUCUUCCAUUUCUUUGUGAAUUCAGUUCAGAAAGCACUGCCAGGCUUCUUCCAAGUGGGAGAGAGCCUUUUGGAGAAUCAACUUUGCUGUCAGCAUGCGAUGCUUGUCAUUAAUGCUUACUUCUACCUUUGGAGCCUUGGAAAGAAGAAGCCUUUAAUCCCUGACACUGUACUUUAAGAAGAUGAAAGCAGAUACCACAAACUUGCUCAAAAUAUCUCAGUACUUUUGGCUUUUUGAAUACAGGUGAUGCCAUUCUUGGUUGGUGGGGGAGGGGAUACAACCUUGAACAUUGUUUGCUUCACUUUUAUGACCUCCCUCUGGCACUUUUGAGUGUGUAACUGAACCAUGGCUUGGCCCUGAGGAUACUUGGAUUCCUAGUCAGGCAAAGUCAGCUACUUUCCGAGCCAAGGAAGGUGAGUAGCAGCUGGGCCUGGGAAGGCUAUUCAGGGGGAUGGCAAAAUGAGCAAUUACAAGUGCAACAGCGGAACAAGGUGUCUUCCACAUCAGAAUCUGGUUCAAGGCCUUAGAGUCCUUCCUUUUAGUAUAACGAUGGGUGUUCUAAAGACAAGGAGUGUUAAUAACAGUAACAUUUUAUGUGCUACAAAAUGCCUUUGAUUGUAGUAAAUAAAAGUGACCAUUUUGAAAAAUAGCCUAUACAUACAGAGAUAAAAGAGUGGUUAAAUAGGCAAAAAUAUACCCACACGGAAAAUAAAUCCAUGAAGUUGUUUAAAAUAAUGAGAUAGGUUUGUUUAUGCUGGUAGAAGACAAUCCUUAAGACAUAUUAUUGAGUGAAAAAAAAAAUCAAGUAACAAAUCAACAGUAAGAUUGCAAUUAAGCAACGUUCUGUGUUAUUUUAGUUAACAAUAACAAAUUUAUAUGUUAUUUAUAUAGUUAAGAAAAUAUAAUGAAAAAAAUAAAAUGUCUGAGUAGGAGUACUUUAAAAUUUGGAAAAAGGAAAUUGUCCUGGGGGCUGAGACAUGACACAUGAACACGGAUGACAUCUGGCCACAUCUUUCAAACCUUGAGUGAUAGCAAUAAAGCUUUAGGCUCUGCUCCUCUGCCCCUCAGUUUCUCCAGCUGUAAAAAGGGUUAUAAUUCUGGUCCCACUGAAAUGCAUAAAUCCUGCAAGGAUGGAAGGAAAGGCUCAUGACGUCACUCUGGCAGCUCAGGGACCAUUUCCCUACUCAUUCUGGCCAUAGAUUGUUGCCACCAGUAAUGCCUACGUGCUCAAUAAUUGUAGAAGAAGCUUAGAGCUUUGUUGUCUUAAUUCAUCUUUAUGAGAAAAGGUUAUGUCUAAUUUGAGGCUGUGAUAAAGUCAAAUAUACAAAUUUCAGAAUUAAGUGAACUUUGAUAGGAAGGAAACUCCUUAAAAACAAGUGACAGAGAACUCUCCUCUAGUUGAGUAGUUUUGUUCUCAAUUUCGAUGAAUAAGACUUAUUAGAAAAUAUAAUUUUUUAUUAUGCGCUGUUAGAGAACUAAAUAUAUCUAGGGUCUUUCUCUGAAAAGCAAAUCCUUUCGUGUUUUAU